ACCAACAGUCACCUUUUUACCUCCUUGAUCACCAUCAAGUGAAAAGCAUGCCAAGUAGUUCCCAGCCUCAGUUGCCGUAAAGGCAAACUGACCGUGAGCAACUUUUUCGCUAUGAUGGAUUUCAUUUCCAUAUGGUGAUGUAACCUAAAAGGAGCCGCGUUCAAAGAUAAAUUUAGACAUAAGCAAUUUUUAUUUAUUUUUUAUUAUUAAAAUGUCUAAAUCUUCCAAGUCUUAAAGUCAAUGGGAUGAUAACUUUCACAAAACUGAGCUUCUUCUACACAAUAUUCAGUUCUAAUAUAUCCAACUUAUACAUGAAACCCAGAUGCCCCUGAAAUUCGGCAAGACAUAAUUAGCCAAUAAGUCACUUAUAGCUAAGAAGUCCCUUCAGAAUUCUUAUUGCAGAAAAAGUGUUUCCUUUCAGUAAGGGGUGCCAUAUUCAAGAUACUAAUGUUAUCAUUAUAUAUAAGCCGCUAGCUAUCAAAAGACAGGAUAUUAAACCUAUUCUGCAUUAGAAGAUCUACAAUACUUUAAGUGGUCAAAAUGCAUUCAACAAAUACAACGAAGUUUAGUGAUUUCAUUGAAUUAUAACGGCUGAGAGUUCCCUUGCCUUAUUAUUCAUCACUAGCUAGACAUGACAAUAGUUCAAGGAUUCUAUUCUAAGUACUAAUCUAGGAUACUCAAACAUAUGCAGAAGAAAAUAUAGUGUGUGUGUGUUUGGAUGGAGGGAUUUGAAAUGAAAAAAAUUGAAAUUUGAUGUUUCAAUUUGAGGUGAAUAUAUGUAAUGAAUAUGAAAGCCAUAAAUUUCAAUUAUUGUUUGGCAAAGUUGGAUAUAAAUUUGGGAUUUGAUUUUUCAGUUAUAGUUGUAAACUCAUAAAUAAAAGUAGAAAAACAUAAUUUUGUCUGAAUAUAUAAAUUGAUAAUAACAUAGGAUUUUCCUCUAUGUUAGUAUGUAACGCGAAAUCAAAGUUGCAGCUUUGCCAAGCAAAUUAAUUUGAAAUCAACUCUCCAAAUCCAUCAUCAAAUUCUUUAUACCAAACUACAGAAAAAAGGAAAUCGAAGCACAUCAAAAUUCAGUCAAUUGACCCCUCUACUGUAACUCAUUUCAAUGGUAAAGUCAUAAUCACUCUCGCAGCUAACUAGAAAGCAGCAACCUCAAUAAAAGAAAACCACAUCAAAAUACAAUGUUUACAAAUCAAAGUGUUCAUCUCAAACUUCACAAUACACAAACAAUUGAAUUUACCAUUCACUAAAACAAACAAUGAGCAAAUUCAAUUAUAGAAACCAAACGAUUUCCUGAUUGGAUCAACGAAAACUUCACAACAUUCUCCUAUAAUUUUUUUUGGGGCUCUAUACAUCAAUAGAAUACAACAAAAAUCGAGACCGAUCAGAAGAUCCAAAACAAUAAUUUCAAAAGCAAGCAAAUUAAACUUACCUUAACGGUGAUGGUCGGAGUCUGAGUAGCAUUGACAUCGUAGUCUUCUCCGAUGAAUGCGUAGUAAUCAGCUAAAACAACGGCGUUAUUGUGCAAUUCCUCGGAGAUGCACUUCGAUCCUGUGCUCGGUAAGUCCAACCACAACCCACGCGCCGCCGGAACCGCCGCCGCCACUAUGAGCAGCGUCCACAGCCAACGCGCUUCCCCUAACUUCAUAAUCGAUCCUCAACUGCAGGGAACGGAAUGCACAGGUUUGGAGAUUUCUGAGAGAAA
Molecule: long non-coding RNA, 1705 nt
Organism: Salvia miltiorrhiza (redroot sage)
Lineage: Eukaryota; Viridiplantae; Streptophyta; Magnoliopsida; Lamiales; Lamiaceae
Exons: 2
Source: RefSeq, a predicted model, not a curated record